AUGCCGCGGUGAAUACGUUCCCGGGCCUUGUACACACCGCCCGUCACACCACGAGAGUCGGCAACACCCGAAGUCGGUGAGGUAACCCCGUAAGGGGAGCCAGCCGCCGAAGGUGGGGUCGAUGAUUGGGGUGAAGUCGUAACAAGGUAGCCGUACCGGAAGGUGCGGCUGGAUCACCUCCUUUCU
This 186-nucleotide ribosomal RNA is filed under the name Alicyclobacillus acidocaldarius subsp. rittmannii. RNAcentral describes it as "partial 16S ribosomal RNA". It matches the Rfam family "Bacterial small subunit ribosomal RNA", at positions 1354 to 1533 of the family's 1533-position model. Lineage: Bacteria; Bacillati; Bacillota; Bacilli; Caryophanales; Alicyclobacillaceae. The record is from RNAcentral.